GAUGAACGCUAGCGAUAGGCCUAACACAUGCAAGUCGAGGGGCAUCACGGAGUAGCAAUACUUUGGUGGCGACCGGCGCACGGGUGAGUAACGCGUAUGCAAUCUACCUACAACAGGGGGAUAACCUGGAGAAAUCCGGACUAAUACCGCAUAACACAGGGGUCCCGCAUGGGAAUAUUUGUUAAAGAUUUAUCGGUUGUAGAUGAGCAUGCGUUCCAUUAGGUAGUUGGUGAGGUAACGGCCCACCAAGCCUGCGAUGGAUAGGGGAACUGGGAGGUUUGUCCCCCACACUGGAACUGAGACACGGACCAGACUCCUACGGGAGGCAGCAGUGGGGAAUAUUGGUCAAUGGGCGAGAGCCUGAACCAGCCAAAUCGCGUGAAGGAAGACUGCCUUAUGGGUUGUAAACUUCUUUUGUACAGGAAUAAAAAGAGGGACGUGUCCUUCAUUGCAUGUACUGUACGAAUAAGCAUCGGCUAACUCCGUGCCAGCCGCCGCAGUAA
This 503-nucleotide ribosomal RNA is filed under the name uncultured bacterium. RNAcentral's name for it is "partial 16S ribosomal RNA". It matches the Rfam family "Bacterial small subunit ribosomal RNA", at positions 28 to 523 of the family's 1533-position model. The record is from RNAcentral.